RNAcentral lists this ribosomal RNA (468 nucleotides) under uncultured bacterium. Its description in RNAcentral is "partial 16S ribosomal RNA". It matches the Rfam family "Bacterial small subunit ribosomal RNA", at positions 28 to 507 of the family's 1533-position model. The record is from RNAcentral.
GACGGACGCUGGCGGCGUGCUUAACACAUGCAAGUCGAACGGAAAGGCCCUGCUUUUGUGGGGUGCUCGCGUGGCGAACGGGUGAGUAACACGUGAGUAACCUGCCCUUGACUUUGGGAUAACUUCAGGAGACUGGGGCUAAUACCUGAUAGGAGCUCCUGCUGCAUGGUGGGGGUUGGAAAGUUUCGGCGGUUGGGGAUGGACUCGCGGCUUAUCAGCUUGUUGGUGGGGUAGUGGCUUACCAAGGCUUUGACGGGUAGCCGGCCUGAGAGGGGGACCGGCGACAUUGGGACUGAGAUACGGCCCAGACUCCUACGGGAGGCAGCAGUGGGGAAUAUUGCACAAUGGGCGGAAGCCUGAUGCAGCAACGCCGCGUGCGGGAUGACGGCCUUCGGGUUGUAAACCGCUUUCGCCUGUGACGAAGCGUGAGUGACGGUAAUGGGUAAAGAAGCACCGGCUAACUACGUG